RNAcentral lists this ribosomal RNA (302 nucleotides) under uncultured bacterium. RNAcentral's name for it is "partial 16S ribosomal RNA". It matches the Rfam family "Bacterial small subunit ribosomal RNA", at positions 508 to 809 of the family's 1533-position model. The record is from RNAcentral.
GCAGCAGCCGCGGUAAUACAGAGGGUGCGAGCGUUAAUCGGAUUUACUGGGCGUAAAGCGUGCGUAGGCGGCUUCUUAAGUCGGAUGUGAAAUCCCUGAGCUUAACUUAGGAAUUGCAUUCGAUACUGGGAAGCUAGAGUAUGGGAGAGGAUGGUAGAAUUCCAGGUGUAGCGGUGAAAUGCGUAGAGAUCUGGAGGAAUACCGAUGGCGAAGGCAGCCAUCUGGCCUAAUACUGACGCUGAGGUACGAAAGCGUGGGGAGCAAACAGGAUUAGAUAACCGCGUAGUCCCUGUCUCUUAUAA